AUCUGAUGAUGGGGGAACUUGAAACAGGUAUUUUUGAAUCGUUCCCAAUACUCAUGAAGGGUCUCUCCAUCGAACUGCAUGAUGCUAUAAAUUUCCUUUCUGAUGCU
Molecule: small nucleolar RNA, 107 nt
Organism: Benincasa hispida (wax gourd)
Lineage: Eukaryota; Viridiplantae; Streptophyta; Magnoliopsida; Cucurbitales; Cucurbitaceae
Source: RefSeq, a predicted model, not a curated record